Molecule: ribosomal RNA, 467 nt
Filed under: uncultured bacterium
Lineage: Bacteria
Description: partial 16S ribosomal RNA
Rfam family: Bacterial small subunit ribosomal RNA
Source: RNAcentral
GAUGAACGCUGGCGGCGCGCCUACCACAUGCAAGUCGAACGAUUAAAGCACCUUCGGGUGUGUAUAAAGUGGCGAACGGCUGAGUAACACGUGGGCAACCUGCCCCUUUCAUUGGGAUAGCCACGGGAAACCGUGGAUAAUACCGAAUACUUCGAGACUUCCGCAUGGAAGACUCGAGAAAGCUCCGGCGGAGAGGGAUGGGCCCGCGGCCUGUUAGCUUGUUGGUGGGGUAACGGCCUACCAAGGCAAUGAUGGGUAGCUGGGUUGAGAGACCGACCAGCCAGAUUGGGACUGAGACACGGCCCAGACUCCUACGGGAGGCAGCAGUGGGGAAUCUUGCACAAUGGGCGAAAGCCUGAUGCAGCGACGCCGCGUGCGGGAUGAAGGCCUUCGGGUUGUAAACCGCUUUCAGCAGGGACGAGGCGAAAGUGGCGGUACCUGCAGAAGAAGCCCCGGCUAACUACGUG